Lactuca sativa (garden lettuce) is the source of this 425-nucleotide non-coding RNA. NCBI's taxonomy places the organism in Eukaryota, Viridiplantae, Streptophyta, Magnoliopsida, Asterales, Asteraceae. The record is from RefSeq and is a predicted model, not a curated record.
UUACAGAGGAUUUGAAAAUGCUCCAGGACUUGGAAAAAAGGCAGCGCAAGAGAAGUUAUGAAGAGGAUACACAAGCUGAGAAGGACCUUGCAGAAAAUAUAAAAGAUACUGAAUACUGAUAUGUAGAUAUGAUAAAAGUGGAAGAGGCAUGUUCUUUAGUGCUAGGGUGUGGUACUUUCUAAUGAAUGUUUGAAUGUUGAUUUCCUACAUGAAUGAUGACUUGUUAGCACCCAUAUCUCUCUUUUUAAUUUUUUCAUGUGUUAGAACAUUUUGAAAAUUUUGAAACCAGGAAUUGGUUGAUUUGGAUUUAUUUGUUUGGUUGUGAGUCACGCAACACAACUAGCAUUUAUACACCAUUUUUUUCCAUUUGGUGUCCUUACUUACAUUUGUUACCCAUUAUAGAAAGAUCCUUCUAUUUCUUUACA